CCCUAGUAACGGCGAGUGAAGCGGCAACAGCUCAAAUUUGAAAUCUGGCGUCUUUGGCGUCCGAGUUGUAAUUUGCAGAGGGCGCUUUGGCAUUGGCAGCGGUCCAAGUUCCUUGGAACAGGACGUCACAGAGGGUGAGAAUCCCGUACGUGGUCGCUAGCCUUUACCGUGUAAAGCCCCUUCGACGAGUCGAGUUGUUUGGGAAUGCAGCUCUAAAUGGGAGGUAAAUUUCUUCUAAAGCUAAAUACUGGCCAGAGACCGAUAGCGCACAAGUAGAGUGAUCGAAAGAUGAAAAGCACUUUGGAAAGAGAGUUAAAAAGCACGUGAAAUUGUUGAAAGGGAAGCGCUUGCAGCCAGACUUGCCUGUAGUUGCUCAUCCGGGUUUUUACCCGGUGCACUCUUCUAUAGGCAGGCCAGCAUCAGUUUGGGCGGUUGGAUAAAGGUCUCUGUCACGUACCUCCUCUCGGGGAGAACUUAUAGGGGAGACGUAAUGCAACCAGCCUGGACUGAGGUCCGCGCAUCUGCUAGGAUGCUGGCGUAAUGGCUGUAAGCGGCCCGUCUUGAAACACGGACCAAGGAGUCUAACAUCUAUGCGAGUGUUUGGGUGUCAAGCCCGAGCGCGUAAUGAAAGUGAACGGAGGUGGGAACCUUUCGGGGUGCACCAUCGACCGAUCCUGAUGUCUUCGGAUGGAUUUGAGUAAGAGCAUAGCUGUUGGGACCCGAAAGAUGGUGAACUAUGCUUGAAUAGGGUGAAGCCAGAGGAAACUCUGGUGGAGGCUCGCAGCGGUUCUGACGUGCAAAUCGAUCGUCAAAUUUGGGCAUAGGGGCGAAAGACUAAUC
This 840-nucleotide ribosomal RNA is filed under the name Boeremia linicola. RNAcentral describes it as "partial large subunit ribosomal RNA". It matches the Rfam family "Eukaryotic large subunit ribosomal RNA", at positions 78 to 936 of the family's 3401-position model. The record is from RNAcentral. Lineage: Eukaryota; Fungi; Ascomycota; Dothideomycetes; Pleosporales; Didymellaceae.